Molecule: ribosomal RNA, 942 nt
Filed under: Inocybe invadens
Lineage: Eukaryota; Fungi; Basidiomycota; Agaricomycetes; Agaricales; Inocybaceae
Description: eukaryotic LSU rRNA
Rfam family: Eukaryotic large subunit ribosomal RNA
Source: RNAcentral
UUAAGCAUAUCAAUAAGCGGAGGAAAAGAAACUAACAAGGAUUCCCCUAGUAACUGCGAGUGAAGCGGGAAAAGCUCAAAUUUGAAAUCUGGCGGCUCUUUGACCGUCCGAGUUGUAAUCUAGAGAAGUGCUACCCGUGCUGGACUGUGUACAAGUCUCCUGGAAUGGGGCAUCAUAGAGGGUGAGAAUCCCGUCUUUGACACGGACUGCCAGUGCGCYGUGGGUGUGCUCUCGAAGAGUCGAGUUGUUUGGGAAUGCAGCUCAAAAUGGGUGGUAAAUGCCAUCUAAAGCUAAAUAUUGGCGAGAGACCGAUAGCGAACAAGUACCGUGAGGGAAAGAUGAAAAGUACUUUGGAAAGAGAGUUAAACAGUACGUGAAAUUGCUGAAAGGGAAACGCUUGGAGUCAGUCGCGUUGGCCAGGAAUCAGCCUUGCUUCUGCUUGGUGUACUUUCUGGUUCAACGGGUCAGCAUCAAUCUUGAUCGCCGGACAAAGUCUUUGGGAAUGUGGCAUCUUCUGGAUGUGUUAUAGCCCAUGGUCGUAUGCGGCGGCUGGGAUUGAGGAACUCGGCGUGCCCGCAAGGGAAUUGGGUCCUUGGACCACAUUUCGCGCCUAGGAUGCUGGCAUAAUGGCUUUAAUCGACCCGUCUUGAAACACGGACCAAGGAGUCUAACAUGCCUGCGAGUGUUUGGGUGGAAAAACCCAUGCGCGCAAUGAAAGUGAAAGUUGAGACCUCUGUCAAAGGAGAGCAUUGACGCCCAGACCAGACCUUCUGYGACGGAUCUGCGGUAGAGCAUGCAUGUUGGGACCCGAAAGAUGGUGAACUAUGCCUGAAUAGGGUGAAGCCAGAGGAAACUCUGGUGGAGGCUCGUAGCGAUUCUGACGUGCAAAUCGAUCGUCAAAUUUGGGUAUAGGGGCGAAAGACUAAUCGAACCAUCUAGUAG